This 534-nucleotide ribosomal RNA is filed under the name uncultured Actinomycetes bacterium. RNAcentral's name for it is "bacterial SSU rRNA". It matches the Rfam family "Bacterial small subunit ribosomal RNA", at positions 873 to 1407 of the family's 1533-position model. Lineage: Bacteria; Bacillati; Actinomycetota; Actinomycetes. The record is from RNAcentral.
CUGGGGAGUACGAUCGCAAGAUUAAAACUCAAAGGAAUUGAACGGGGCCCCGCACAAGCAGCGGAGCAUGCGGCUUAAUUCGACGCAACGCGAAGAACCUUACCAAGGCUUGACAUAUACAGGAAUAUGGCAGAGAUGUCAUAGCCGCAAGGUCUGUAUACAGGUGGUGCAUGGUUGUCGUCAGCUCGUGUCGUGAGAUGUUGGGUCAAGUCCCGCAACGAGCGCAACCCUUGUCCUAUGUUGCCAGCACGUAAUGGUGGGGACUCGUAGGAGACUGCCGGGGUCAACUCGGAGGAAGGUGGGGACGACGUCAAGUCAUCAUGCCCCUUAUGUCCAGGGCUGCAAACAUGCUACAAUGGCACAUACAAAGGGCUGCGAGACUGCGAAGUUGAGCGAAUCCCAAAAAGUGUUUCUCAGUUCGGAUUGGAGUCUGCAACUCGACUCCAUGAAGUCGGAGUCGCUAGUAAUCCCGGAUCAGCAACGCCGGGGUGAAUACGUUCCCGGGCCUUGUACACACCGCCCGUCACACCACGA